Echinops telfairi (small Madagascar hedgehog) is the source of this 162-nucleotide small nuclear RNA. Its record names the gene U1. It matches the Rfam family "U1 spliceosomal RNA". Rfam says of the family: U1 is a small nuclear RNA (snRNA) component of the spliceosome (involved in pre-mRNA splicing). Its 5' end forms complementary base pairs with the 5' splice junction, thus defining the 5' donor site of an intron. There are significant differences in sequence and secondary structure between metazoan and yeast U1 snRNAs, the latter being much longer (568 nucleotides as compared to 164 nucleotides in human). The record is from Ensembl. NCBI's taxonomy places the organism in Eukaryota, Metazoa, Chordata, Mammalia, Afrosoricida, Tenrecidae.
UAAUGCAGCUGGCAGGGGAGACACCGUGAUCACGAAGGUGGUGUCCCAGGGCGAGGCUCACCCAUUGCCCUGCGGGGGUGCUGACCCCGGCGAUUUCCCCAAAUGUGGGAAACUCGACUGCAUAAUUUGUGGUAGCGGGGGACAGCAUCGCAAUCUCCCCUG